This is a long non-coding RNA of Neodiprion virginianus, 151 nucleotides long. RefSeq lists it as uncharacterized. The transcript is spliced from 3 exons. The record is from RefSeq and is a predicted model, not a curated record. NCBI's taxonomy places the organism in Eukaryota, Metazoa, Arthropoda, Insecta, Hymenoptera, Diprionidae.
GCUCUUCCGAUCGCACGAUUACAAGGAAACGGCUCGAUCUACGUCAGUUUAGUAAGAGAGCUUUUUUGUAGGAAAUUUAAUUUCCUUCAAAAAUAUGGAUUGUUGAUAUUUUUCAGAUUGAUAAUUGACGGAUUUUGGGUAAAAAAAUGCG